Molecule: long non-coding RNA, 1128 nt
Filed under: Equus caballus (horse)
Lineage: Eukaryota; Metazoa; Chordata; Mammalia; Perissodactyla; Equidae
Description: lncRNA (ENSECAG00000045229.1)
Source: RNAcentral
GGAUAAGGACACUUGGGCUUCAGUGGUGUCUCUUCACAGUUGUGUGACCACAGACAAGUCGCUUCUGGCCUCUGUGAAACUGAUCUCCAAAACGGAUAUGGGGCUGUGCAUACCAUGAGUGAGCAGCACGUUUGCCAACAAUAAUAAUGUUAAUAAGUAGCAUAUAUUACUAUUCCAGGCAUUCAUCUAGUCCUAUUACUAUCACUGUUCCAUUUUACGGGUGAGGAAACUGACAGCUAGAGAGAAGUGACAUGUCCGUUCUCUGGGUCUGGAGUCUUUAAUCACUGUACUACACUGUGCUGGUCCUUGUUCCUAGAAUCUUUGUCCUCUGCCUUCUUUUCCUGAUUACCAGAAACUCAAAACUCAUGCUUCAAACGUCAGGGCAGUGUUGCGUCCUCCUGGAAGCCUCCCAGGCCCUUCCCAUUGGAUUCAGUGGCUUUCUCUUUGCUCCCGUAGCACCUGUCCAUCCACCAUCAUACCUGCUUUACAUUUUCCUGACAGCCUGGACUCUGAGGCGCUGGAGAGGAGGGAGUGUCUCCUGCACCUAUUUCUGGUCCUGGCAGCUAGCAUGGCACCUGGAACGUAGCAGAUGGUCAAUAAAUGUUAGAGGGAAGGAGGAAAAGGGAAAGAAAGAAGAGAGAGAGAAAGAGAGAGGAAGACAGAGGAAAACAACUAAAAAGGAGAGGAAAGAUGUGAAAGAAUUGGGCCCUCUUGGGCGAGAUGACCCUUCCAAAGACGGUAGGAGGAAAAGUAGCAGUGGCCUUAGAGGAAAUUUGAACAUGUUUACCCACAGCCAAAACUCAGCAUUGGACGAUUCCAUGCAUCAGUUAGAAAUUGCCUUUGCUGACAAUAACAAAGACCUCUAAAUAGAGGCUUAAAGAAGAUAAAAUGUUCUCCUCUCUCAGUCUGCAGGUGGGCAGUCCAGGCUAAGAGUGGCCCUUGAUCCUCAAGGACCCAGGGUCCUUCUGUCUUUGCCUGUGCCAGCCCGACCAGGAAGAUUUCAUCUUCAGGUUAUUUCUGAGUCCAAGAUGGCUGCUUGAGCUCAGCUACCAUCACCUCAUUCCAAACAACAGGAAGGAGGAGUGAAAAGAGGUGCCUGGAGUUGUAUGCUGCAAUGAGUUAUAUAAA